GUCGGGAAUAUUGCGCAAUGGAGGAAACUCUGACGCAGUGACGCCGCGUGCAGGAAGAAGGUUUUCGGAUUGUAAACUGCUUUAGACAGGGAAGAAAAAAAUGACAGUACCUGUAGAAUAAGCUCCGGCUAACUACGUGCCAGCAGCCGCGGUAAUACGUAGGGAGCGAGUGUUAUCCGGAUUUAUUGGGUGUAAAGGGUGCGUAGACGGAAUGACAAGUUAGUUGUGAAAUCCCUCGGCUUAACUGAGGAACUGCAACUAAAACUAUCAAUCUUGAGUACUGGAGGGGAAAGCGGAAUUCCUAGUGUAGCGGUGAAAUGCGUAGAUAUUAGGAAGAACACCGGUGGCGAAGGCGGCUUUCUGGACAGUAACUGACGUUGAGGCACGAAAGUGUGGGGAGCAAACAGG
RNAcentral lists this ribosomal RNA (408 nucleotides) under uncultured bacterium. RNAcentral's name for it is "bacterial SSU rRNA". It matches the Rfam family "Bacterial small subunit ribosomal RNA", at positions 354 to 776 of the family's 1533-position model. The record is from RNAcentral.